RNAcentral lists this ribosomal RNA (453 nucleotides) under uncultured Paraprevotella sp. RNAcentral's name for it is "bacterial SSU rRNA". It matches the Rfam family "Bacterial small subunit ribosomal RNA", at positions 341 to 792 of the family's 1533-position model. The record is from RNAcentral. Lineage: Bacteria; Pseudomonadati; Bacteroidota; Bacteroidia; Bacteroidales; Prevotellaceae.
ACGGAAGGCAGCAGUGAGGAAUAUUGGUCAAUGGGCGAGAGCCUGAACCAGCCAAGUAGCGUGAAGGAUGACUGCCCUAUGGGUUGUAAACUUCUUUUGUUCGGGAAUAAAGGAGCCUACGCGUAGGCUUUUGCAUGUACCGUUCGAAUAAGCAUCGGCUAAUUCCGUGCCAGCAGCCGCGGUAAUACGGAAGAUGCGAGCGUUAUCCGGAUUUAUUGGGUUUAAAGGGAGCGUAGGCGGCCUUUUAAGUCAGCGGUCAAAUGUCAGCGCCCAACGCUGGCCUGCCGUUGAUACUGAUGGGCUUGAAUACACACAAGGAAGGUGGAAUUCGUCGUGUAGCGGUGAAAUGCUUAGAUAUGACGAAGAACUCCGAUUGCGAAGGCAGCUUACUGUCGCGUAACUGACGCUGAAGCUCGAAAGUGCGGGUAUCGAACAGGAUUAGAUACCCUGGUA